This is a long non-coding RNA of Acinonyx jubatus (cheetah), 4838 nucleotides long. RefSeq lists it as uncharacterized. The transcript is spliced from 2 exons. The record is from RefSeq and is a predicted model, not a curated record. Lineage: Eukaryota; Metazoa; Chordata; Mammalia; Carnivora; Felidae.
GUGUGUCCCGAGCCUCAUUUUGGGGAGAGAGAACCUGUUUCUUCUCAGCAAGCAAACAGCGUAUGAGCAGAGCAGGAAGGAGAAGGGCUUAUCUGGAGCUGAAAUGUUUUGAAGCAAAGUCAGAGGAGGGUGACCUUCCAAGUGGUGUUUGACUUUCUCCUUUUGCCCAGAACUAAUCGGCUUAGCUCGGAUGCCUGAGUGCCCGGUGACACAGGGACCCGCUGCUUUCAGGGUCUACUCUUUAUGAAAGAAAAACACCAUUUCUCACCAGAGCCUAAAGUUUAUGGGGCUUCUCUCGUGGACCGCUCGUGCUUGGUCAUUAAAGGGGCAAAGCCGACACGGUCUCUUUCCUCGAGUUUGUCAAAUGGCUUUAUUCGUAACGAUCAUCAGACGGAAACACUGACUGCAGGCUGAAUGUUGUCGCCUGCCAGGCAAAGAGCCACCCACCCAUCCCUCCCCCGUUGGCCGUCUGGGGUCAGGGAGCCAUCUGGGGGCCUCCUAUCGGUGGCCGGCACCUGGGCGGGGGGGCGUCAGGGGACAGUCAUCUCCAUGGGAUUACCUGUCUGCUUAAACCGGAGACAUCACGCGGGCAAAGCUGACUCCUGGGGACGGAGAGGUGACCCAGCUCCCAACAACAAAAGAACGAGGCUGCCUUUCCAAAUCCAUUACUGUCACCCGUGUGCCGUCCCUGCCUGCACACCCCUCCCCACAAUAAAACUAGGAAACGUAGGUGGGGGCCUCCUGAAGACGCUGCCGGCCGGGCCAGGCUUCUCUUGGUUCAGAAAACAGAGGGACUCUUUGUAUCCAGAAGAUCAAAAUACUCAGGGUGAUUUGGUCACAGAGCAGUCACAUGUCUGGAGAUGGGUGAUAUGUCUGUAGCCAGCAGGGGCCACCCCGUUCUCCCUGCCUCAUCACCAUCCCCCACCCCACCCCUUGGAGGUCCAGGUGACCCCCUGCAUCCUGUAGGGCAAGCCUCUGCCCAGACAAGCUGGGGUGGGGGUGGGUGGGGGGGGGGAUAUCACCAGGACUCAGGCCUCUGGAGAAGUGACUCAGCCCUAGUGAUGGGACAAUGGGGUGGGAAGGGACCUGGCACAAGCUCUAUUUCUCCAGGGGAAACAGGUGACCUGGAGGGACCUAGUGUGGAGAUCAGAGGACUCAGGCUCAAACCUCUGGUCCCAGGAGCCCCUAGGUCUGCUCUUGGGCAAACAGGGAAGGGACCCGCCAGCCGGGAGGGAAGGAGCAGGGAUGCAGACGUCCAGGUGGGGCUGUGGAGCACAGCAGAUGGGAGCACAGGGCCCUGCGGGCACUCGCUUGGCUUAGGGUCCCCGCCCUGGAUGGGAGUGCUGAGACGGGGAAGGGCCGGCUGGCGGGGAGGCCCAGGCAGAGGAGGCCAGCCAGCAGCCCGGUGCCAGCACACAGGGGCCCCUGCAGCUCGCACUGUUCUCAGGGACACCGGAAGGGGAAGCGACCCCACUCAAACAGGAGUGAUCCCACUCAAAAAGGAGCACCUUGCAGGAGAUCCUUUCAUAGAUUCUGCCAAAAAUAAAGCAGCACGUGGAGGAGACAGAGUUCUUUGGGUUUUGUUUUUAAUGACGGGACAGAAUAAGGUAAAAGUGGACAAAUACCUAAACCCAUUUUCAGGAAUGUAAGGACUUGGAAACUUAGCUGCAUAGAUCUCUGGAGUUUCCAAGAAUGUCGGAGCAAGAUGAAUGAGACCAGGAAGUGGGGAACGUAGGGUCAGGGGACCGUGGUGGGCAAAGAAGCCAGAAAGAGCUACAGUGACGCCCAGACCACUGCCGACGACAGACGUGCUCGGCUGUCCAGAGUCACAGAUCCAGGCGUGGCUGGUGGGGCGCAGGGGCAUUGGGCUGCCCUGUGGCCCGGACCCCUCCUGACGCCAGGAGAGGAUGGAGGCUCACUCAGUAUACGUCUCAGCAAUGCCGGGUGAUCAUGGUGCCGCAGAGGCAGGGCCAGUGACGUCCAAACCCAAGUCACAUGAAUACAAAACUCUACUGUUUCACUUCCAGUGACAGUGAACAAGGACAAGCUGGGGACCACCCUGCCCUGAACCCCCAGAUGCUGGGGAAACGCAGCGAGGUGACAACUCACGCCCUGGGACAGUGACAGCUGGAAAGAAUGUCAUUGCACCCCUGAAAUAAUGGCCCAAACUUCCGAGUCUUCCUGGGCCCCCAGAAGGCAGUGGUCAUGGGGCAACCAGCAGCCUGGGAUCUAGAAGAGACAGGUGUCCCUGGGGGACGGGGCACCAGGCACGGCCCACACCAUGGGGGGAGCUCGGAUGGAGAGACUGUGAGCAUGAGGGCGCAGAGCCAUGGCCGGCCCAGGGCUCCCAGUUGGGGACAGGACAGCAGCCCCCGGUGGGACACAUGGUGCGGCUGGCCCGUUCAUCUGUGGCAAAGCCCCCGGAGCUCUGCUGAAACCACACACCUCAGGGUGGGACUAAACUUCUAAACUUUUAUUUAAUUCAAAUGUAAAGAGCCACGUGCAACUCAUGCUACAAUAUUGCACAAUGCGGAACGUGUACUUUCACUUUUAAUCGCAUUUCUUUUUGGUCUGAAAACAAUUUCCCCUGAUUCUCGCAAGGUAGCUUCUAGAAUCCUGGGUUGUUAUUUUCUCUAGGUUCACUGAAGACAUUAUCGUGGCAUCUUCUGGCUUCCAUUCACACUGACGAGAAGUCAGCGAUCCACCUGUCCUCCCUUUGUAGAUAAUCUAUGCGUUCGGCUACUUUAAAAUAUCUUCUCUUUUUCCCUGGUUUCUGAGGCUUUAUUAUUACAUAUUUAGAUACAAAUUUGUUUUAACUUAUCCUCUUUUGGAUGUAUUGGGCUCACCGGGUCUUUCAGGUAUCUUUAAUGUAUCUGUGACAUUCUCAGCCAUUACCUCUUGAAAUCGCGUCUCCUUUUUUCCAUCAAUUUCUUCAGAAAACCCUAUUGGAUGUAGGGCUGACCCUCUGUUUCCAUCCUCCACAGUUUUCUGUGUCUGUUUCUCUGGAUUGACAUCUGGUAUAACUUCGUUGGGUCUGUUUUCCAGUUCACCGUUUUUCUCUUCAGCUGCAUCUAAUCUGACAUUUAGAGAUUGAAUUUUAUGGUGAUUUGUUUCCUUCGUUCUUAGGCUUUUUGAUCACCAACUUCUUGUCUGAUUUGGAAGUGUAUUUGGUUGAAAUCCUUUGAGUGCUUGACUUAAUUUCCCCCAAAAAAGAUUUAUGCUUCUAUCGCCUGGGAAAUGCCACCAACAUGGGACCAUUUUUGUGAACAAUCAACUUGGAAUUUGGAGCAGAGUUAGCAUGAGGUUAGAGCAUCAACGUCACAGAGGUCUGACUCGACUUACGAUUUCUCAGGGAAGUACUUCUCCCUCCUCAGUGUCAGGGCUGAGGUGGGAGCAUUUCUGGUGUGCUUCCUUCCGCGUGUGGGUUUUUAUUCAUCCUGUGAAGUCCUGGCUUCACAGAGGGUUCUCGUCUGCAUAUCCCGCCCUGGGAAGACCCUGAGCCUUCAGCCCUCGUCCCCGCCUGCCUGGUGCUCUGAGGUGCUGCAGACCUGCGGGUCACUUCAGAACCCCCAGGGGAGAGGCUGGUCUUGACCCAGCUUGCCUGCUGGGGUUCCUGAUUUCCCCCCAUUUGGUGUCUUGCAAUUCCUUUGUUUUCUUGAAAGAUGUGUGAUGUGUAAGUUUUCCUUUAAUUUGUCCACCUAAUUAUCUUCUCCAGAAGGGUUCUUAAGAGCAUCAGAUCUGCCACACAUGAGAAACAGAAGUCCCCACGGCUGCUCUUGGCUCCUGUGGCCCUUUGCUAUGGAUCUGUCUUGGCCAGUGUUUCCUGAAAAAUGGGCUGAAGCAAGGAUGCGCUAACUGGGAAGCUCGUUUGUGGGAGACACGGGUGAAGAAGGAGAAUGAGAAAGAAAGCGAUCUUCGGAGGAAGGAACCGGGGCGUAAGGCAUGACGUCUGUCCUGAAGUUUCCCUGGCCCGUUUAGUGCCCGCAUGGCAAUGGGGGCACGGGGGGGGGGGGGGGGCGGGGACAAGGGCUCCCCGCAUUACCGGGCAUGACUGGGGUACUGAGGGCCAGCGAGGCCCUCCUUAGGCGGAGGGGGCUGGCCUGCCCGCCCCACCUUCCUGCCUGGCCUUGGACAGGGCUCCACCCACACAUGGGGCUGGGCCCCUGGAUCCCGCUGUGCCUGAAGGCGGCCUCUCCCGGCCUGAGUGCUGGAGUCGUGCCCGUUGAGCAGCUUGGUGGGGGCUCUGUUCUCCGGACUGACCGCGGCUCUGAGGUGGGCUGCUCCCAAACUCCUCAGAGCCGGGUCGUUGAAGACGGCUGCGCACAGCCACCCGCGGCCCCCAGCUCAGCGGCCGUCCGGCCUCCCCUGGGACUCCCCUGUAGUGGAGGCCCGGUCCCGGGGGAGCAGCCCAGCCCCCGCCCUGUCACCCAAACCAGUCUGUUCUGGGAGGGCCUCUGGUCAGACUCUCGGAUGGGCGUCCCCAGCCCAGAGGAGGCGCCUCACUUUCCUGAAAUCGGCCCCGAAAACAUCAGCAGUGUGGACGGCAGGGGGCCGGCGGCCAGAGAGAUGCACACGAGCAAUAAGGGGAGAACUUCCGAGAGUCAGUCUUGAAAUCACACCCUUGAAUUUCCCAUCAUUUGGGGGUGCCCGGGUGGCUACAAGGCUGACUCGUGACUUUGACUCAGGUCAUGGUCUCACGGUUUGUGGGAUGAGCUCCGGGCGGGGCUCUGUGCUGACGGCACGGAGCCUGCUUGGGAUUCUCUCUCCCUCUCUCUGCCCCGCCCCCCGCUUGUUCUCUCUCUCAUAAAUAGACAAACAUUAAAAAGAAUCCCCCAUCA